GCAGUGUUUUCCGACCGUUGCGUGUUAUUACUUUGGUUGCUAUGCAAAGUUUUAAUAUGUUGGUUCAAUAAUAUAAACACAUUUUCAUGUGUUUGAAGCAUAGGUGUAGCAACGUAUCUCUUUGGUGAAGGAUACCUUUCACCAAAGUUUCAGAUUGGUGAAGGAUCCUUCACCAAUCUUGGACAAUGCAAGGGAGGGUCUUCACCUACCUAUGCUUAGAACUACUGGAUUCGACGGUUGAUCAAAUGUCUGUUUUUUAACCCGCGCCCGGCUGGGGGUCCUGGAUUUCCACGCCCUGCUGGGGGGGGGGGGGGUGUUUGAACACCCCCCCCCCCUUCUAACUCGGCUCCUGGGCCACGUAGCGAUACGCGGAAGGCGGCGUUCGAAAGAGCGCCAAAAAUAAUGACGAAAUCACUUCGGUCACUUUUUUGGUCAGGUCAAAGGUCAGGUCACUAGAGGUCAUUGAAGGCAAAAUUUCGCCGAUUUCCAGGUCGAAUGUCGACAAUUUCCAAGAAGCCAACGCAUAGCUCGGGAACCAAUAGAGCUACAGCGCCACGGAAAAGCGCAUUCGAUGGCCCUAUUAACGCCCUUUCUGAGUAAUUCGCUCAGAUUUGACCUAACGUCAACGGUUUUGCCUGCAGGGGGCAAAAACUGCCAAAAUAGACGAUUUUUCGGGAACAGUUUUUUUCUGCAAUAACUUUUGACCCAAGCCUUGCACGAGCUUUCUUUUACCGACAUCGUGUUCCUCUUGUCGCAUCGAAUGAACUAUAAUUUGACAUUGAAAGUUCAACUUAAAAAUUUGACCUCUGCUCUGGUCAAGGUCAUGAUUUGACCGGACAUUGUCAUGUUGCAUAUCAGUGGAUCUGUAUCGUCGAGCUGAACAUAUAUAAGACGUUUUCAUCGCUCUAGCGUGCCUCUUUCAAAAGUUAGUCGCAAAAAACUGCUAGAUACCAUUCGUGACCUGAGAUGACCUCAGGGGCAUAAACAGGGGUCACGGGUGCCGUUUUCAUGUUCAGUGUGUCAAAGUUACUUGUAAUUUAGUGUUUGAGAGUGUUUAGAAUGACUUUCGUCCGAAAAGGACGGUUUUGAAUUUUCUCCCAUUGACUUAUAAUACCUAGAGAGGUCGCAAAAUUGACCCGACCCUAGGUCACCGAUAUGAAAAUUCCGAAUUUUGUACAUACUGUUGCACUUAUCAAUUGCUGAAAGCUUCAAAGCGAUCCGUCACUUGGUGUAGCUAUGGCAUACAUUGAAACAUUUUAUGAUGUGUUUAUGAGGUGAGGUCACUAGUAGCGACCUGGUGACCUGACCUUGAAGGACCCUGGUCUGAAAUUUUCACAAAAUGUAUAACAUUUGUAGAUGAUAAGGUGCCGCCGUUUUUCAGAUAUCCGCGAAAAACCGCAGGGGGGUGGGUGAGUGUUCAAGUUAACCCCCCCUCCCAGCAGGGCGCGGGUUAACACACUUUGACCAUUUGCCCCAGUAGUCAAAAUUCCUUAGCCGAGGCCCUGAUUUACAUCUUGCUGUCAUGGCAAGAUGCACAAUUCAAUUUUAGGCAGGCAUUGAAAAUUUGACGUUAAUGGGAUGAUAAGGGCGUAAGAUAUCUGCGAAAAACAAUGGGUUGGCGAAAUUGCCCCCCCCCCCCCCGCUUGCACUAUGCGUGUUGGUUGGCACGGUCCUGUCCCUUUUCAUAAGGUUCAGGUGGCAUCCUUCACCAAUAUUUUUGGCGCUCCUACACCCAUGGUUUGAAGGUCGCAAAAGCUUAACAUAAGUGGCAACCACACUUUGUAUUACGUUUCGUCUCAUAUAUCAUGAAGAACAACCAAGUAUUUCAAGGAAAGCUGAGGCGAGGGCGAGUAGGUCCCUGAGGAGGACCACUGCAAAGGAGGUCAAGGAGAUUCUGGGGGCAACCUGCGAGCAACCUCUAAACCAGCCAGCAGGGACCUCUGACAAUGCCGCUGCCGGUGUCGACACUGGCAGCCAUGGCCGGCGCCGAGCUGACGAGUUCCAACCUGGAAGCUCAGCGCGAGGGGCUGGCAUUUGUUGCCGGCUUCGUGGCAUACAAGUGUCACCACAUCGACGCCACCCCCGGUAGCCGGUCUCCUGACUUCUCGGGCGCCGCUGGAGACACUGAACACCCUGCCGAACAGCUGAAUUGUGACGAUCAGCCGAGGCCAGCUGUUUGUUCUGUCACAAGCCUGGAUGGCCGCUGUGGAGGAGUUCGAGCGGAACUUCUGCCUGCUGAUGGGGGCAACUGCAGAUCAGGGGCCGCGAGUCAUAUGGCGUCUCAAGCUGUUCAUCGCCGUCAAGCAGCCUCAGCUCGGCACCCGCGUGUCCAGGAAGUUGGCGAGCACCCGUCUCCACCUCCCCCUUCGGUCCCUUAGCCUGACUGGACGAGGUCCGGCAGCUGAAAAGAGCCGACAGAAAAGUUGGCCAUCAUGCAAGGAGCUCUAGGUGAGCUGGUAAACCGGCUCGUGUAGCGACUACGAGUCGGCGUGGUGCUGUGUGACUCGGUGUGGUGCGGCCGGCUCUGUGUGGGUGCUGUGCGACUCGGCAUGGUGCCUCCGGCUGUGUGUAACGGCUUUGCGACUCGAUGUGGUACGGCCGGCUCUGUUGGUGCUGUGCAACUCGGCAUGGUGCCUCCGGCUGUGUGUAACGGCUGUGCGACUCGGUGUGGUACUGCCAGAUCUGUUGGUGCUGUGCAACUCGGCGUGGUGCCUCCGGCUGUGUGUAACGGCUGUGCGACUCGGUGUGGCACGGCCAGAUCUGUUGGUGCUGUGCAACUCGGCGUGGUGCCUCCGGCUGUGUAUAACGGCUGUGCGACUCGGUGUGGCACGGCCAGAUCUGUUGGUGCUGUGCAACUCGGCGUGGUGCCUCCGGCUGUGUGUAACGGCUGUGCGACUCGGUGUGGCACGGCCAGAUCUGUUGGUGCUGUGUGACUCGGCAUGGUGCCUCCGGCUGUGUGUAACGGCUGUGCGACUCACUGUGCGACUCGGCAUUGGGUAACGGCUGUG
Amphibalanus amphitrite is the source of this 3008-nucleotide long non-coding RNA. RefSeq lists it as uncharacterized. Lineage: Eukaryota; Metazoa; Arthropoda; Thecostraca; Balanomorpha; Balanidae. The transcript is spliced from 3 exons. The record is from RefSeq and is a predicted model, not a curated record.